GGUUAAGCGACUAAGCGUACACGGUGGAUGCCCUGGCAGUCAGAGGCGAUGAAGGGCGUGCUAAUCUGCGAUAAGCGCCGGUAAGGUGAUAUGAACCGUUAUAACCGGCGAUACCCGAAUGGGGAAACCCAGUGUGACUCGUCACACUAUCAUUAACUGAAUCCAUAGGUUAAUGAGGCGAACCGGGGGAACUGAAACAUCUAAGUACCCCGAGGAAAAGAAAUCAACCGAGAUUCCCCCAGUAGCGGCGAGCGAACGGGGAGGAGCCCAGAGCCUGAAUCAGCAUGUGUGUUAGUGGAAGCGUCUGGAAAGGCGCGCGAUACAGGGUGAC
RNAcentral lists this ribosomal RNA (331 nucleotides) under Salmonella enterica subsp. enterica serovar Oranienburg. RNAcentral's name for it is "partial 23S ribosomal RNA". It matches the Rfam family "Bacterial large subunit ribosomal RNA", at positions 1 to 368 of the family's 2925-position model. RNAcentral also lists the same sequence under 6 other names. Lineage: Bacteria; Pseudomonadati; Pseudomonadota; Gammaproteobacteria; Enterobacterales; Enterobacteriaceae. The record is from RNAcentral.